RNAcentral lists this transfer RNA (73 nucleotides) under Candidatus Roizmanbacteria bacterium CG10_big_fil_rev_8_21_14_0_10_45_7. RNAcentral's name for it is "tRNA-Val". It matches the Rfam family "tRNA". From Rfam's summary of the family: Transfer RNA (tRNA) molecules are approximately 80 nucleotides in length. Their secondary structure includes four short double-helical elements and three loops (D, anti-codon, and T loops). The record is from RNAcentral. Lineage: Bacteria; Candidatus Roizmaniibacteriota.
GCUCGUGUAGCUCAGUUGGUAGAGCGUUCCGUUCACAUCGGAGAGGUCCCUGGUUCGAGCCCAGGCACGAGCA